UGAAAAGUCAAUCAAGCCUAAGAGUUAGGCCUCUUUUUCAUCCCAAUUCCUCCCAUUUCCCACGGUCCGUGGUGAGUAAUUGACUCCAUUUCAUCGCCCCUCACCUUUCACCCUUCUCAAUUCUCACUCCCCAGUCGUUCGAAUUCUCUCCGUCUCUCCGCCUCCACGACUCUUCUGCCUCUCCGCCUCCGCGACUCUUCUGCUUCUCCGCCUCUGAGGCUCUGACCAUCUAAGCUACUUCGUUUCCGCUUCUCCGCCUCUCUAUAGGAUCGUGAGGCCGUGAGUCAGUCUCCGUCUCGUCUCUCACGGUCUCACGUUCUCACCCCUCUGAGUCUCAGCUCUCACUGCUAGACGCCAAGACCAGACAGGCAGAAACCAUCAUCCUCAGCUUAGCCACUCGUCUCCACUCUCCAGCUUCGCCUCUCCGAGACUCCGACUCUCUGUGGGUUAUUAAACCAGUCUGUCUUAUCUGCCUUUCCGGAAACCCUAGAUCUGGGGAGAUCUCCUUCGAUUGAGUGACUCUCUCAGAUUUUCGGCUAUGGAGUAACAACCUAACAGAGUAACAGAAUUGCAGUUGUAGCAUUUUUGUUUUUCAUAGUCCAUAAGUUCCAGAACAGCUACAAGGUAAGUAUCCUCAUCCAUACUACAUUAUUAUAAAUUUUGAAAAUGUGAUUAUAAGAUUGCAUGUGAAUAUAUUUUUUAAAGUCUUGAUAUUUACCAAAAAGAAUUUUAAAUUUUUGAACUGUUAUGAAUUUAUGAAUACUUGUUUACUGGUAGUCUAAAUUCUUAAUGCUUGAGUUGAUGUCUUUUAUGAAUUUCUUGCCCAUUCUUUUUGUAUACUCUGUUAUUCUCCAAAGCAAUGCUACAGAACUCAAGGUUUUUGUGUAGUACACUUUGUUUCACUCACUUCCAGAGUUCUUGACUUCUAAUCAAUAAGUUGAGACUUUACUUAAGAUUUUUUGAGAGGUCCAGAGUCAUAGACUUUCAGUAGUUUUAGUUCAAAUUGAAAAAGGUAAGUAUCCUCUAUCCAUGGGAUUGCAGAAUUAUUUUUUACCAUUGCUGAAUGCUGACCCAUGUAUUUGUGUUUUAUGUCAUAGAUUUGGCUUUCAAAGACUUUGAUCCAAGUACUUGAAGAUAAGUAAAAUGGUUGCAACUUGUUAGAAUAUAUAUUUUUUAAUUUAAUAUAUCUAUUUUUUUUUUCUUUGAGAUUAUGGUUAAGUGUUUUAUACUCCUUAUAAUUCAAUCUUUAAUUGUUCACAGUAUGUUUUUGAGAAUUGUUGUGAAAAUGUUAAUCUGCCAAAAUAUGUUUGCAGGAAAUGCAGCUAAAAGUGGUAAUUGGUUAAUAUUUUUCUAAUUUUCAUUUAACUGUUAACUGUUUUUUUAAAUUUAAUAUUUAAUUGCUAAUAGAUUUUUUAUUUGUGCUUAAGAAUGUUUAAUUGUUAAUUGUGUUAAAAUAGUAUGUUUUUGAUAACUUUGUGAAACUGUGAGGUAAUUGGUCAAUUUUUUUUUUCCUAUUUUCUAUUUAACUGUUAGCAUUUUUUAAAAUUCUCAUUUAUCAUAUAUGUUUGGAGUUUGGCACUUUGCAGAAUGCAAAUCCUUGAAUUAUAAUGUUUCAAGACAUGUUCUUAGUUUCCUACCUAUUUUCAGAGAAGAUGGAGCUAGUGAACAAAGUCUACAAGUUGUGGAAUGUAGAAUGUGCAAUUGUAUUGUAAAUUUGAAGAUUUGGAUGAAAAAAAUUCUUGUGUAGAAUUGUAUUUAAAUUGUAGAUUUGUAAGUCCUGUGGAUUUUGGACUUUUUGUUAGUAUAUUGUAGAUUUGUAACUCUACUUACAAGUUUACAAUUCUUUUAACUA
This is a long non-coding RNA of Ipomoea triloba (trilobed morning glory), 1852 nucleotides long. RefSeq lists it as uncharacterized. NCBI's taxonomy places the organism in Eukaryota, Viridiplantae, Streptophyta, Magnoliopsida, Solanales, Convolvulaceae. The record is from RefSeq and is a predicted model, not a curated record. The transcript has 4 exons.